GUCUUUAUGAGUUUGUAUAAAGUCGGUUCUGCUCAAUGAAUUUUAAAUAGCUGCGGUAAAUUGACUGUACUAAGGUAGCAUAAUAAUUAGUUUAUUAAUUGUAAACUUGAAUGAAUGAGUUGAUGUAAAAUUAUCUGUCUUUAAUAUUUCAUAUUGAAUUUAAUUUAUAGGUAAAAAAGCUUAUUGAUUUUAAAGGGACAAGAAGACCCUAUAGAAUUUUAUAACUUUUGUUGAUAGAUAUUAAUUUAUAGUUAUUUGGUUGGGGUGACUAGAAUAAUAAUUUAACUUUUUUUUUUUUUACAUUAAUAUAUGGGAAUAUUGAACUAUUUUUUUUUAAUUUAAGAAAAAUUACCUUAGGGAUAACAGGAUAAUUUAUUUGGAGAGUUCUUAUUGAUAUUUAAGUUUAUUACCUCGAUGUUGAAUUAAGAUUAUAUUGGAAGUAGAGGUUUAAUAAUUUAGGUCUGUUCGACCUUUAAAAUCUUACA
This 485-nucleotide ribosomal RNA is filed under the name Conicercembia tepicensis. Its description in RNAcentral is "partial 16S ribosomal RNA". The record is from RNAcentral. Lineage: Eukaryota; Metazoa; Arthropoda; Insecta; Embioptera; Archembiidae.